This 314-nucleotide ribosomal RNA is filed under the name uncultured bacterium. Its description in RNAcentral is "bacterial SSU rRNA". It matches the Rfam family "Bacterial small subunit ribosomal RNA", at positions 772 to 1073 of the family's 1533-position model. The record is from RNAcentral.
ACGCAAUAGAUACCCCGGUAGUCCUGGCCCUAAACGAUGUCCACUAGGUCACGGCCCCUCUGACGGGGUCGUGGCCGAAAGCAAAAAAGUGUUAAAGUGGACCGCCUGGGAAGUACGGUCGCAAGGCUAAAACUCAAAGGAAUUGACGGGGGCUCACACAAGCGGUGGAGCAUGUGGUUUAAUUCGAAAGCAACGCGCAGAACCUUACCUGGGUUUGACAUGCCAGGAUUAUCCCGGUGAAAGCCGGGUAGGCCCCGCAAGGGGUACAACUGGCACAGGUGCUGCAUGGCUGUCGUCAGCUCGUGUCGUGAGAU